Long non-coding RNA from Marmota flaviventris (yellow-bellied marmot), 1494 nucleotides. RefSeq lists it as uncharacterized. Lineage: Eukaryota; Metazoa; Chordata; Mammalia; Rodentia; Sciuridae. The record is from RefSeq and is a predicted model, not a curated record.
UUACAAAUGGAGCCUUCUGCCUCUAGGUCACUGAUUCCGCUACCAUCUGUCAGCACCGAUUGAUUGAGUAGACUGGCCCUGCUCUGCAGAUCAGUGACUUGUGCGAAGUGAGCCGGGGUGUUGGUGCCUUAGGCAGCAGGCUGAUGUCCUUCCUCUCACUCACUGGCUCUUGAGCAUGCAAACAGCCCUCACCUUGAUCCUUCACCAGCCCUGGAUCUCCUUCCCCUUGGGAGGGGCCAGCUGCUCACAACCCCAGCACACCAAGAGGGAAGCCUGGAAGCCCUGCUUCUCAGGCCUGAGCCCGGGGCUCCGCUUUCAGUCUUCCAGAAGAUGAGGAGACUGAGGCACGGAGCAGUGAGGAGGAAUCAGAGCUGGAAUCCGAACACAGGCUAGUGGGCUGCAGAGCCCCUGCAUCUUCGCUUUAUCAUGAGAUAACAAUAGGGAGGUUCCUUUCCAUUGGGAUUAUUUCUGCUUGAAAGCACAAGACUUUUAGCCACAUCAUUGUCUGGGCUCCACAGGAAGGCAGUGCCACAUGCUGAGGCAUGCUGGGAAAAGACUUUGUUCCAUCCUGUUUUGUUGACAUGCUCUUCAUUUUUAAGCCUGAAACCCAAGCUUCCUGCUAAGAUUUCAAAUCGUGGAGAAAAAACCCAACCAUGAUAAUGGCCACGACUUCCUAAGCCUCCAGUGUCCCCUGUGCUUGGGGCUCCAGAUAUGUCAUUUAACCUCAACCUUCACAAUGACAGGAGCAGCCCCCAGAACACAGCUGGAGAAACUGGAGGUCAGAGUUGCUAAGAUGCCUAAAGGCUGGCCCAGGAUGCAGGUGUGGUGUGGCCCUAGAUGCUGCCUUCUCUGACAGCGGGAGCUGAGAGACAGGGAUGCCCAUGCUCCCUCCUCUCUCGCUCCCUCCAGGGACUCAGGAUAGCCACCCUGCUGUGCUUAAAAAGGCACCUGUCUUCUGGAAGGAGCCCCACCACUGAGGAUCCUCAUCGAUGCCUGUCUCCCCGCCAGCUCCUGGGGAUAACCGCCAAAGCAGGUGUGCCCUGCCUCAAGACCAGCACAGCAGGAGUGGGGGCUCCUCCAACCCUCAGCCAGUCCUUGACUACAGCCUCUUUUCCCAGCCCAUCCAUCCCUGCAGCCGACUCAUUUCCACCCCAAACCAGCUUUGACCUUACUCUCCCUGGAUCAGUGGUUUUCAGUGGGUACCGAGUGACUCCAGAAUUCACGGAAUUCACGUUUGUUCCUGUCUUGGAAGGCAAAGCCCUCAUCUGGCUCAGCUCACCUUUCCCACCUUCACUCCUGCCUCUCAGACUGUCUCUGCCCAACUAAACAGACUGUUCCUGUCCCGAGCCUGCCUGUCCCCAGGGAGAAAUGUCCUUUCCUUUUCUUUACAGAUAAAAGCUACCCUCUUUCAAAUCUUACUCAAAUGCCACCUUCCCCAUGAAGCCCUGCCUGUGUACUCAUUCAUUUACUCAAUAAACCCUCACUGAGCCUUUA